AUCUUCAGGGCGGGGUGUGAGUCCCCACCGGCGGUAAAGCCCGCGAGCAGUAGCAGAUCCGGUUAGAUUCCGGAGCCGACAGUAUAGUCUGGAUGAAAGAAGAUG
Molecule: non-coding RNA, 105 nt
Filed under: Peptostreptococcus russellii
Lineage: Bacteria; Bacillati; Bacillota; Clostridia; Peptostreptococcales; Peptostreptococcaceae
Description: FMN riboswitch (RFN element)
Rfam family: FMN riboswitch aptamer (RFN element)
About the family: The RFN element is a highly conserved domain that is found frequently in the 5'-untranslated regions of prokaryotic mRNAs that encode for flavin mononucleotide (FMN) biosynthesis and transport proteins. This element is a metabolite-dependent riboswitch that directly binds FMN in the absence of proteins.
Source: RNAcentral